Molecule: ribosomal RNA, 923 nt
Filed under: Saproscincus hannahae
Lineage: Eukaryota; Metazoa; Chordata; Lepidosauria; Squamata; Scincidae
Description: partial 16S ribosomal RNA
Rfam family: Bacterial large subunit ribosomal RNA
Source: RNAcentral
UUUAGUCUAAUGCAGCACAACAUAGCCCCCUAGACUAAAAGAUAUUCGACUGGGGUACAGCCCUGUUGAACAAGGAUACAACCUAAGCUAGCGGCCCAGAACCCCAGCACACCCAGUAGGCCUUAAAGCCGCCACCAACAAACAAAGCGUCACAGCACAACAUUAUAAAUGUCAACAGCUCUGCCAAACCCCUAGUAAAAUACUGAGCCAUACUAUAAUAAUAGUAGGACCAAUGCUAAAACUAGUAACAAGAAAGCUUCUCUACGCACUCUCGUGCCCCAGUAAUAGAAAAACUACUGGACAUUACCAGACCGUAACAGAACACCAAACUGUCAUACCAACACCGGGGUGCCUAAAAGAGGGUUAAAAACUACAUAAGGAACUCAGCAAUACCUGUUUCAACUGUUUACCAAAAACACAGCCUUUAGCCAAACAAGUAUUAAAGGUGCUGCCUGCCCAGUGAAAAUUUUUAACGGCCGCGGUAUCCUAACCGUGCAAAGGUAGCGUAAUCACUUGUCUUUUAAAUAAAGACUCGUAUGAACGGCUAAAUGAAAACAGACCUGUCUCUUAUAGUCAACCCGUGAAACUGAUCUUUAAGUACAAAAGCUUAAAUGAACACAUAAGACGAGAAGACCCGUGGAGCUUAAAACCAACGCUAUUGACUUAACCAGAUAUAGCCCAAGUUUUGAGUUGGGGCGACUUCGGAACAAAACAAAACUUCCGAACACAGAGCUAAACCCUCUCCCUAAGACCCACAAGUCGAAGGAACAUGCCGACCCAGUCCACACUGAACAAUGAACCAAGUUACCCCAGGGAUAACAGCGCCAUCUUCUUCAAGAGUUCUUAUCGACAAGAAGGUUUACGACCUCGAUGUUGGAUCAGGACACCCAAAUGGUGCAACAGCUAUUAAAGGUUCGUUUGUU